RNAcentral lists this ribosomal RNA (478 nucleotides) under uncultured bacterium. RNAcentral's name for it is "partial 16S ribosomal RNA". It matches the Rfam family "Bacterial small subunit ribosomal RNA", at positions 28 to 523 of the family's 1533-position model. The record is from RNAcentral.
GACGAACGCUGGCGGCGUGCUUAACACAUGCAAGUCGAACGGUAAGGCCCUUCGGGGUACACGAGUGGCGAACGGGUGAGUAACACGUGGGCGAUCUGCCCUGCACUUCGGGAUAAGCCUGGGAAACUGGGUCUAAUACCGGAUAGGACCACUGCCUGCAUGGGUGGUGGUGGAAAGCUUUUGCGGUGUGGGAUGGGCCCGCGGCCUAGCAGCUUGUCGGUGGGGUGAUGGCCUACCAAGGCGACGACGGGUAGCCGGCCUGAGAGGGUGACCGGCCACACUGGGACUGAGAUACGGCCCAGACUCCUACGGGAGGCAGCAGUGGGGAAUAUUGCACAAUGGGCGCAAGCCUGAUGCAGCGACGCCGCGUGAGGGAUGACGGCCUUCGGGUUGUAAACCUCUUUCAGCACCGACGAAGCGCAAGUGACGGUAGGUGCAGAAGAAGGACCGGCCAACUACGUGCCAGCCGCCGCCGUAA